Long non-coding RNA from Drosophila pseudoobscura, 1351 nucleotides. RefSeq lists it as uncharacterized. Lineage: Eukaryota; Metazoa; Arthropoda; Insecta; Diptera; Drosophilidae. The record is from RefSeq and is a predicted model, not a curated record. The transcript is spliced from 2 exons.
UGACUUCCGGUUCUUCAUAUCGCUUGUUCAAUCUGCAUCAACAAAACACUCAAUUUCCUUUCCUUGCUUUGUGUAGCAUAUCUCCCAAUCGAUAUUUUUUGCCAAAUAUCGAAUAUCGGAUGGGCUUGGCUGCCGCUUCGUGCUCGGAAUGGCGAUCCUUGUUACGUUGAGCUAAUUUAUUCAACGAAUGAAGAUUUGAAUUAAUAUGUAAAUAGUACUAAAAUUGUGAAUUAAUUUGAAGUUGGCGCGUUACAUUAUGUACGUAUAAAGAAGCGCAAUCGAUAGUAUCAAUAGUAUCGAGCCAAAACGAUCUGAUUUAUGAUCACUAGAUUUAAGAGAUAUAUACGAAAUAAAACGAACGAGCAAGGAACUACAUCGAGCGGAUUAAGGAAGGUCUGAAUUGUGUAGACGGAUUCCACUGGAAAACUGUUGGAGGGACUUAGCUCGUACAAUAAUUAUACCCGAUACUCAAAAUGAGUAUUGGGGUAUAUUAGAUUUGUGAAUCUCCUUCUCGUCGCCCACAACUCUGGCUCACUCCGCGCUUCCCUGUUGUCUCAAGCCUAAUUUAAAGGCAAUGAAUCAUCGCAAUUUUGUUCAAAAUAUGACAUGGUGCCCGAGCAAAGACAUUGGGACUAGCAGGAAGAAGGAAUAUUAGCCAAAAAGAAGGAAGAGCAGCCUAUAAGAGAUAAACAGACGGAAGACAAUAAGGAGGGAAUGGACAUUGAGUUGCCAGCACCCAAGGAAGUGGAUUCAUCCGACCGUCAGAUAAUAAUGUCGAAGCAAUAAUAACAAAAAAUACUUAUUGGGUUGGCAAUCAAAAGUACAUGUGUACAAUACAUUACAUGUGUUUGUGUAGCCACCGAAAAUUGACUGGUUAUAAUAAUGAUGAUCUGAUCCAGAUUCGGCGAUAUAGUAUUCUUUAUGUUUUAGGCGCUCAUCUGCAGCGACAGGCAAAGGCGACCAGGAAACGUGUGUUAGAGAGAACGAAACUGUUUUCUUUAUUCUGGAGAGAGAGAGAGACAGAGAGAGAGAGAGAUACAGAGAGAGACAGAGAGAGAGAGAGAGAGAGAGAGAGUCAGACACGCUUGAUGAUUUUCAGAAGUUGCUAAACGUAGUAAAGUAAUAUGCUAUUCAACAUUUAUUGAACAACAAAAAUUGGUCAAUUUAACAUAAAAGUGGACUGUUAACUAUUUUUUGUAGGCUUCAAUGGAAACCAAUCGAACUACAAUUUUAGGAGAUGAAUUAUAUAAUAUAGAUUAUAUACAUAGAUAUAGUAUACAUAUUAUGGACAAAUUUCGUAUUUUUCAACUUUGACCUCAAGUCGGCACCUCUAAACGUUGUUGAAUCGGGC